Molecule: ribosomal RNA, 484 nt
Filed under: uncultured bacterium
Lineage: Bacteria
Description: partial 16S ribosomal RNA
Rfam family: Bacterial small subunit ribosomal RNA
Source: RNAcentral
AUUGAACGCUGGCGGCAUGCUUUACACAUGCAAGUCGAACGGCAGCGCGGGCUUCGGCCUGGCGGCGAGUGGCGAACGGGUGAGUAAUGCAUCGGAACGUGCCCAGUAGUGGGGGAUAGCCCGUCGAAAGCCGGAUUAAUACCGCAUACGACCUGAGGGUGAAAGCGGGGGACCGAAAGGCCUCGCGCUAUUGGGGCGGCCGAUGUCGGAUUAGCUAGUUGGUGGGGUAAAGGCUUACCAAGGCGACGAUCCGUAGCUGGUCUGAGAGGACGACCAGCCACACUGGGACUGAGACACGGCCCAGACUCCUACGGGAGGCAGCAGUGGGGAAUUUUGGACAAUGGGGGCAACCCUGAUCCAGCCAUGCCGCGUGCGGGAAGAAGGCCUUUGGGUUGUAAACCGCUUUUGUUCGGGAAGAAAUCCUCUGGGCUAAUACCCCGGGGGGAUGACGGUACCGGAAGAAUAAGCACCGGCUAACUACGUG